CCUACGGGGGGCAGCAGUAGGGAAUCUUCCACAAUGGGCGAAAGCCUGAUGGAGCAACGCCGCGUGGGUGACGAAGGUCUUCGGAUUGUUAAACUUUGUUGUUAGAGGAGAAAGUGCGUGAGAGUAACUGUUCACGUUUCGACGGUAUCAAACCAGAAAGCCACGGCUAACUCCGUGACAGCAGCCGCGGUAAUACGGAGGUGGCUAGUGUUAUUCGGUUUUAUUGGGCGUAAAGGGAACGCAGGCGGUCUUUUAAGUGUGAUGUGAAAGCCUUCGGCUUAACCGGAGUAGUGCAUUGGAAACUGGGAGACUUGAGUGCAGAAGAGGAGAGUGGAACUCGAUGUGUAGCGGUGAAAUGCGUAGAUAUAUGGAAGAACACCAGUGGCGAAGGCAGCUCUCUGGUCUGUAACUGACGCUGAGGUUCGAAAGCGUGGGUAGCAAACAGGAUUAGAUACCCGGGUAGUC
This 465-nucleotide ribosomal RNA is filed under the name uncultured bacterium. RNAcentral describes it as "partial 16S ribosomal RNA". It matches the Rfam family "Bacterial small subunit ribosomal RNA", at positions 338 to 795 of the family's 1533-position model. The record is from RNAcentral.